RNAcentral lists this transfer RNA (66 nucleotides) under Dehalococcoidia bacterium. RNAcentral describes it as "tRNA-Asn". It matches the Rfam family "tRNA", at positions 10 to 71 of the family's 71-position model. Rfam says of the family: Transfer RNA (tRNA) molecules are approximately 80 nucleotides in length. The record is from RNAcentral. Lineage: Bacteria; Bacillati; Chloroflexota; Dehalococcoidia.
GCUCAGCGGUAGAGCGGUCGGCUGUUAACCGAUAGGUCGUAGGUUCGAAUCCUACUCGGGGAGCCA